Molecule: long non-coding RNA, 1386 nt
Organism: Gasterosteus aculeatus aculeatus (three-spined stickleback)
Lineage: Eukaryota; Metazoa; Chordata; Actinopteri; Perciformes; Gasterosteidae
Source: Ensembl
AACAGGAAUCAGGAAACAUUUAUUGCCAAAAGACGAGUACGGCUCCUUUUUCCUUUUCCUUUUUCACGCGUCUCUGGUUCCGCUCUGGCUUCCACUGAAGAUCCCCCCACACUGGCUUGGCACAGCCAUUUACCCCCAUGAUGGUCAGCUGCAGGAGGGACGUCCCCAGCACACCUGAAGAAAAUCUCUCACACACACACACACACACACAUAUAUGGAGCAAAUCCAGGUCAAACGUUUUGUUCAUUUGAAAAACAAAAAAAAUGAAGUGGGGAGGAAGGGAGAGAGAUGGGUGCGGGGGGAAGAGAGUGGGGGACAAUGGGAGAGUGGGGGCAGAAACAGAUAGAGGGGGAAAAGAAGAGAGAGGGUGGAGGGUGGGGAGAGGGCCAGAAAGUGAUAGAGGGGGAAAAGGGAGAGGGUGCCUGUGGGUAAGAGACAAGGAGAAGAGAUGUGAGGAGGAUCAUCGGCAUGUGAGAAAACAUUCAUAGAUCCAAUUAUUUUAAUUUGAUGUACCUUCAUUUAGUUAUUUCAUGUUUGUAUCUACAUUAUAUAUUGUGGUUGUUAAAGUGUAUUUCUGUAUAUGCUUUUCAUGUUUAGUGAGUCUCUGUGCAUAACAACAUGUUAGAGUGUCUCUGUGUAAGUACUUUUAUAUCUUUUAUAUGCGUCUCUGUGUACAUGUACAUGAUAACAGCAGGAAUCAGAGGUUUAUCUCAAGGUACUAACUGUAAAUCACAGCUUUCACCACGCGAUACACCGACACAUCACAUCAUUCACAGCCGUACGGCUGCAGUCUGUCUGGACUCCUCACUUACCUUCAGCUCUGUUGAGUGCAGCAGAAGGCGUCUUCAUCUCCUCUUCACACUCCUAAGGCCUUACGGUUACUUUCUGCAAGUUUCUCUCUGGAAAACUUCAGUGUGUGUAGUUUGAAACUAACUGACUGAAUGUGCCACAGACCUUAUGCUGAGGUGAACGGAGCUUAGAACAUGGAGCUUAGAACAUGGAGCAUAGAACAUGGAACAUGGAGCUUAGAACAUGGAACAUGGAGAAAUGUUCCAUCAUGAUGUCACGUCUCUAUGGUUACAGUGAAGGUAUCUUGAAUAUGGAAAUGAGCCUUUAAAGUAAACGUGUGUGUGGACGGUGUAUCUGUAUUGAUGGAGCUCAUCCACUUCACAUGCUGCAUAAAACACUUUGCUCUGUUUGUUUUCUAUGACCCGAUCAUCUUGAUCUUGAAAGCAAACACUUUAAAGAAUAAAUAAAGAACGAUUUUUGAUUUUGGUCCAUUGUUUCAAGUCGGAAAUAUAUAAACUCUUGAAUCCGGGUCGUUAAACCUCCCGUUCGAGCCCUCUUGUCUGCAGUCAUUAUGCUAAGCUAACCAGCUACCGAUGC